GCGACCGUGGUGAAGCGGAUAUCAUUGAGCCCUCCGAAGGCUUAGUCGCAGGUUCGAUUCCUGCCGGUCGCA
RNAcentral lists this transfer RNA (72 nucleotides) under Pseudideonella sakaiensis. RNAcentral's name for it is "Ideonella sakaiensis tRNA". It matches the Rfam family "tRNA". Rfam says of the family: Transfer RNA (tRNA) molecules are approximately 80 nucleotides in length. Their secondary structure includes four short double-helical elements and three loops (D, anti-codon, and T loops). The record is from Rfam by way of RNAcentral. Lineage: Bacteria; Pseudomonadati; Pseudomonadota; Betaproteobacteria; Burkholderiales; Sphaerotilaceae.